Vicugna pacos (alpaca) is the source of this 1811-nucleotide non-coding RNA. NCBI's taxonomy places the organism in Eukaryota, Metazoa, Chordata, Mammalia, Artiodactyla, Camelidae. The record is from RefSeq and is a predicted model, not a curated record.
GGAAGUCGGCCCGGCCAGGCGGUCCCCGGGCAGGUGGAGCCGCUGAGGCUGCCCAAAGUGUCCGCAGGGCCGCAGCUGCACCCCAGGAAGGACCCGGAAGGAAAAAAUCCGGGGCUUUUAAUGGGCUGUGGCCCAGUUAUUUCAAGAUUCUGCUCACAAUGCAGAGAAGAUUCAUUUCCGGUAUAUGUUAUUACAAGAAAUUGAAUGUAAUUCCCUGUGCUAUAUACAGAAACAGCAUGCUUAAAUCUGUACACUACUCUGCAGAAAAUCAGAAUGCAAAAAGUAGCUGCUGAAUACAGCCAGGAAGGCAGUGAACUCAAUAAGUUUGUGAGAAACUGUCUUCCGAAGUGGCCGUAUUGAAUUCCCACCAGCAGUGAAGGCGAGCGCCUGUUGUUCCACAUCCCCAGCGGCAUCUGGCAUUGCCAGUGUUCUCUGCAUUUUGGCUGUUCCAAUAGGUAAAGUAUCCACGAAGGAGGCCACUGCAUGACCCGAGCAGCUUACUGCUUGGUCUGUUUGCUGCGCCCGGAUGCCUCGCAGGAGGGGCUCAGCAAGGACGUCACCUUCUCGCAGCAGCCCUCGCAUUCCUGCGCGAGGGCCCGUGUCACUGUGCAGAUCUCUUCGCCACCACCACGACUCUCAACCCUCAGAAGUCAGCGAGGGCCACACGCCACCUCUGAUAUAUAUACAGAUGAGGACAGGGGCCCUGAGAGAUCAGGAGCCUUGCCCAGGUCAGAGUUGGUCAGCUGGAGCCCCCUCGGUGGGAGGGAUGGAAGAGGGUCUGGAUCGGCCCCCUCAACUCUCUCCCCGCCCGCCUGUUCUGUCAUCGGCCCACACCCUCGACGGAGGCCCGCCCCAGGGCGGUGCAGAGCACUAAAAAGGGAAUUCCUCUCUCAUAUCCCAGGCACAGAGUUCACGGAUCUCCACUCUCCCGCAGAUGAACAUGUGUUUUUUGUGGAAAGACCACACAGAGGAGUUGGGAUCUCUUAUGUUGUUUCCAGAUCUGGCCCGCGUUGGCCGUGUGGCCCGAGUCAAAUUAUAGAACCAUGGCCACAUUCAGCUGGAAGGAAUUUAGGGAUUGCCUCUGCUGGUGCAUCAGAACCACCAGGACAGCUCAUUAAAGACAGACUCCUGGGCUUCAGGCCCAGGGUUCUGACUCAGUGGGUCUGGGGUGGCACUGAAGAGCCUGCUUUUCUAGUAAAUUUCCAAAGCGUGCCAACGCCACCGAGCCACGCAGCCCGCUUGUGUAUCACUGGCCUCCGAUAACCUUGUCCUAAGGUGGGCCAGCAAACUUUUUGUUAACGGCCAGCUGGUAAGCAUUUUAGGUUCUGCAGCACGACUCAGCUCUGUCGGUGGAGCUGGACAGCAGCUGUAGGAAUGGCUCUACAGGAAUGAGCGUGUCUGUCUUCUGAUAAACCUUUAUAAACACAGGAGGCCAGUGGGCUGCAGUCCGCUGACUCCUCACCACAGGCUUACAGCAGUUGGAGUCCUUCCCCACCACGCCUCGCUGCCGGCUGUGAAAUGGGGAAAGCUAUUCCUGGUCUCACUUCUCUCCUUAGCUACGAUGAAGACAAGGUACAACCAGAUGGUACAAAUUCAGAAAAAACAUUUUCUGUCCGUUUCCAUCAGUCCCAUAUUAUCAGCUAUACUGUUUUUCAGUAUGGCACCUUCAUUUAUUUUAAUAAUCAUUGGAUUGGCUCUAUAAAUAUCCCCUCUAAUUAUUAGGCCCCAUACAAAAAAUAACAAGGCUGAGAGAUGACAGAAGGGAUCAUUCCGAAGGGUAAUGAAGGAACUUGGUGUCAGAAAAUAAACAG